RNAcentral lists this ribosomal RNA (461 nucleotides) under uncultured Alphaproteobacteria bacterium. Its description in RNAcentral is "partial 16S ribosomal RNA". It matches the Rfam family "Bacterial small subunit ribosomal RNA", at positions 339 to 817 of the family's 1533-position model. The record is from RNAcentral. Lineage: Bacteria; Pseudomonadati; Pseudomonadota; Alphaproteobacteria.
CUACGGGAGGCAGCAGUGGGGAAUCUUAGACAAUGGGCGCAAGCCUGAUCUAGCCAUGCMGCGUGWGUGAUGAAGGUCUUASGAUCGUAAAGCUCUUUCGCYGGGGAAGAUAAUGACUGUACCYRGUAAAGAARYCCCGGCUAACUCCGUGCCAGCAGCCGCGGUAAUACGGAGGGGRCUAGCGUUGUUCGGAAUUACUGGGCGUAAAGCGCGCGUAGGCGGAUYAGCAAGUYRGRGGUGAAAUCCCGGGGCUCAACCCYGGAACUGCCUCCAAAACUGYUGGUCUAGAGUUCGAGAGAGGUGAGUGGAAUUCCGAGUGUAGAGGUGAAAUUCGUAGAUAUUCGGAGGAACACCAGUGGCGAAGGCGGCUCACUGGCUCGAUACUGACGCUGAGGUGCGAAAGUGUGGGGAGCAAACAGGAUUAGAUACCCUGGUAGUCCWCACCGUAAACGAUGAAUSCC